Molecule: ribosomal RNA, 254 nt
Filed under: uncultured bacterium
Lineage: Bacteria
Description: partial 16S ribosomal RNA
Rfam family: Bacterial small subunit ribosomal RNA
Source: RNAcentral
UACGUAGGGGCCUAGCGUUGUCCGGAUUUAUUGGGCGUAAAGAGCUCGUAGGCGGUUCGGUAAGUCAGGCGUGAAAUCUCCACGCUCAACGUGGAGGCGCCACCUGAAACUGCCGUGACUCGAGUCCGGUAGGGGAGUGUGGAAUUCCUGGUGUAGCGGUGAAAUGCGCAGAUAUCAGGAGGAACACCAGUGGCGAAGGCGGCUUCCUGGCCUGUUCUUGACGCUGAGGCGCGAAAGCUAGGGGAGCAAACGGG